This 254-nucleotide ribosomal RNA is filed under the name uncultured bacterium. Its description in RNAcentral is "partial 16S ribosomal RNA". It matches the Rfam family "Bacterial small subunit ribosomal RNA", at positions 524 to 776 of the family's 1533-position model. The record is from RNAcentral.
UACGGGGGGGGGCAAGCGUUGUUCGGACUUACUGGGCGUAAAGGGCUCGUAGGUGGCCAACUAAGUCAGACGUGAAAUCCCUCGGCUUAACCGGGGAACUGCGUCUGAUACUGGAUGGCUUGAGUUUGGGAGAGGGACGCGGAAUUCCAGGUGUAGCGGUGAAAUGCGUAGAUAUCUGGAGGAACACCGGUGGCGAAGGCGGCAUCCUGGACCGGUAUUGACGCUGAGGCGCGAAAGCUAGGGGAGCAAACGGG